This 253-nucleotide ribosomal RNA is filed under the name uncultured bacterium. RNAcentral's name for it is "partial 16S ribosomal RNA". It matches the Rfam family "Bacterial small subunit ribosomal RNA", at positions 524 to 776 of the family's 1533-position model. The record is from RNAcentral.
UACGGAGGGUGCAAGCGUUAUCCGGAUUCACUGGGUUUAAAGGGAGCGUAGGUGGGCAGGUAAGUCAGUGGUGAAAUCUCUGGGCUUAACCCGGAAACUGCCAUUGAUACUAUUUGUCUUGAAUUUUCUGGAGGUAAGCGGAAUAUGUCAUGUAGCGGUGAAAUGCUUAGAUAUGACAUAGAACACCCAUUGCGAAGGCAGCUUACUACGGAAUGAUUGACACUGAGGCUCGAAAGCGUGGGGAUCAAACAGG